UACGUAGGGGGCAAGCGUUGUCCGGAUUCAUUGGGCGUAAAGAGCGUGUAGGCGGCCAGGUAGGUCGGUUGUGAAAACUGGAGGCUCAACCUUCAGAGGUCGACCGAAACCAUCUGGCUAGAGUCCGGGAGAGGAGAGUGGAAUUCCUGGUGUAGCGGUGAAAUGCGCAGAUAUCAGGAGGAACACCUGUGGUGUAGACAGCUUACUGGACCAGAACUGACGAUCAGGCACGAAAGCGUGGGGAGCAAACAGG
RNAcentral lists this ribosomal RNA (253 nucleotides) under uncultured bacterium. RNAcentral describes it as "partial 16S ribosomal RNA". It matches the Rfam family "Bacterial small subunit ribosomal RNA", at positions 524 to 776 of the family's 1533-position model. The record is from RNAcentral.